RNAcentral lists this long non-coding RNA (206 nucleotides) under Aquila chrysaetos chrysaetos. Its description in RNAcentral is "lncRNA (ENSACCG00020009817.1)". The record is from RNAcentral. Lineage: Eukaryota; Metazoa; Chordata; Aves; Accipitriformes; Accipitridae.
GCAGGAAGACCGCAAAUCGAUCUAUUGCAGCAGAUGGUUCAAACAGUGGAGCUGAAGAGUAAUUGGAUCAGCUGUAGCAGUUAUUUCACAUAGGACAGCACCAGCAAAUGGUGAGCAUGAAGAAGUUCCUUCUGUCUCCUGACUCUGCCAUCCAAAGAAUUACUGCAAGCCACAGUGGCUUACAAGGACAUUCAGUUUACUUUCUC